CAAAAAUAAAAAACCAAAAAUAAAAUAGCAGUGCAUUUAAUAAAAUAAAAACGACUGAGCACAUGAGGCGGACGUAGCGCAUUCAAAAUUGACAGCGAGUAUCAAUCUUGUUUGAGCGUACUGUACAUAUUACAAUGCUUUGGUAAUGGGCUGGCGGGUGACAGCUGUCAAAACAAAACUCUGACAGCCGCCACAGAUAAUAGCAGAAUCACAGAUUAAAAACGGCUAGCCAGAUAGCAUUAGGAAUAACAUAAAUUUUUCUAAAUAAUAAAAAGAAUAAAACAGUAAAAUAAACAAAAAUAAUAAUAGUGAUACAAUUAAUUUUGUUCGCAAGAAGGCACAUACGAAACCUUAAUCUAACGAAUACAAUAUAAACUUAAAACAAACGACGUGUGGAUACAAAAAAAAAAAAACAUAUAUAUAUCAGGAAGACGACUUUGAACAAUCAUUAUACAAGAUUAGAGGUUAAUUUAUGUUUAAUUUUACCGCUUCAUUACCUAUGUUCUAGCAUUAAAAAUGUCUUAUAUAAAAUUUCCGGGCGUACCCUAUAAACGUUAGUAGGCAUGCUUCAUACAUAUUCAAUCAUUUCCAGUAACACGAAACCUUUGUAUUAUGUUUUUCACCGUUGUAACCUUUGCCUUUACAUUUCAUUUACAUACAUGUUCAUACAUCGUUAUAUAAUGUGUGCCAAUAAAGAAUUUCAUCAAGAAAUACACAUCGAUAACACUUUUUUCGCAUUGAAUUGAUAAAAUUAGCUUUUCUAGCUAUCAGGAGGAAAAGAGAGUUGAAUAUCGUACAAGCGAGAUGGUACGAUGUUACUUUUUAAAUCGAUCCGAUUACGGUACAGAUUAUACAAACGAUAAUAAAUACGCUGUAAUAGAAAUUGACAAGAAUCGAUGUAUAAAACAAAUUGUUUUUGCGAAAUUACUGUACAAACAUACAACGCGUGCAAUUGAGUUAAAACUUCAACGUCAUUUUAAAUUUCCCACUUUAAAUUUAUUUAACAAUUAUUGCAAUUAAGGUGUUCAAUCGUCGACACAUGAUCGAAUUGAUAUCCCUUUUAACGAUAUAAUUACAUCUCUUAUUAGAAAUACCGCACAAAAUUAAGGCAGAUAAACGUUUCCGAUUCUAGAAUGACAACUUUGAUAAUUAGGGCCACGUUCCUAAAGGCCUAUUCAACACUACGACUUAUAUUUUCAAGUGACGGAUCAACUGAACUGAACGUAUCUGGUAGUUUGUACAGCUAGCGCUAUAUGAUUUUUAAUAGUUGAUCAUUUUUAUACUGACAGCGGUGUUUUCUGUCUUAUCCGACUUCAAGAGCGUGCGUUAUGUCUAUAAAUUAAUUAUUUGCAAUACGAAUAUAUCGCUACGUGCUAUUACAGGCAAUGUUAAACAGUAAACAUCUCACAGCAUGGCACAGAGAAAUCAGUGGAGAUGGGCCACGGAUAUGAUCUGCGAGUUCAUUUUUAUAUGGUGUAAGUUGCGCACGCGCAGACUGCAUUUCCAAAUCAACAUCGUACGUAUUUUAUUAUUCGGUUUGAUUUUCCACAUAGACUCUAAGAGCAGUCUAAAUUGAUCUGGACGAUACAGACCAAGCUGUUAAUUAUAUAUUUGUAAUUAUAAAUGGCACAAAUGUCAGGCCAAUUUUGCAUUGUAAGGGGGCACCCAUUAAUUACGUGAGUAGUACGAGAGUACAGGGAGGGGAAGGUUGAGCUGAUUUUUACUUUAUAUUUUUUCAGAGGGGAGGAGGGGAGGGAAAUAUCACAAGCUUAGCGGAAGCUAAGUAACAGGAAAAAUGUACGACAACACAGUUGGGAAAUUAAUUAAAAUAUGAUUUGUUACUAAAAAUAUUUUAUCUAGAUUAAGUAGCUCAUGCAUUAAUCGUAAAUACUUGUUUUAGCUAAUCUAUACUAUAAUAAAAAUGGGGUCGGGGUCAAAUGCUGUACAUUGAAGAUAUUUAGGUUUUCUUGUGUUUGAUUUUACGCGAGUAUUAUACAUUUAGAAGUUAAAGACUUUUUAACGUAUUUAAACGCGAUUCAUUCAUUAUAUUCCGACGUUUCGAACACUUUACAGCGAUAUUUAGUUUUUUUUUUUUUGUGGGGCGAAUUUUUUAUUUUACUACUGAAGUAUAAAAUGCUAUUUAAAACAUUUUUAUCUGCCCGUCUGUCUGUAUCUCGAAUAAGAAUCACGCAAAAGCUACUAAAUGGAUUUUGUUGAAACUUGCUAUGGUUAUAACAUCUACUCUGAGGAAGGAUCUUAUUUACUUUUUCAUCCCGGAAAUCGAUACGGUGUCUGAGAGAGAGGGAUGAAAGUCUAGGUAUUUAUUGGCAAACGCGAACAAAGUCACGGAUACAGUUAGUCGCGAAUACAUGUACUUAACAAUUUAUUUCUUCCUCUUAAAAAGAAUCCAAACACUAUACUCUCGUUUUAAAAUAUCUCGUGUGAUUCGGAGGGUUUAGGGGGAGCGAGUCAAAAAAACCUUACAUAAUUAUUAUGCCCCUUGUGCCCUUGCAAAGUAUGGGGCAGAUGCUCGGUGAACCAACUUCUAUUUAGAUAUAAGAACACAUCUACUGUAACCAGUAUACUAAGACCUGUGCCAUAAAUAAUUUGUCUAAACAUUUCAUAAAAUAAAAUUGUCCAUUUUCAUACGAAUCGAAUCUAAUCAAUGCGGUCUGCGGUUUCCCGCGACAAUGUUCGUCUAACAGAACAUUCUGGAACGAAUACUUUCCACAGAUAAACAAUUAAAGAUUGCACAACUCAAUAACAAACGAAACAAUUAAAUAUUGCACGUCCUAUACGUGAUUUUUUGAUUCUAUAUUUGAAUUCAUUUGAUUCUAUAUUUGAAUAUUUGGCUGUAUUUAGUAAUUAGGUUGACCAAUGUAUUUUAGAAUUGAUUUUAGCAUCAAAUAUUACAAUUAGCAGAUGAAACUUCUAGAACGAGCAAUAAUAAUUCCAUGUGAAUGCAGCGAAUAUACAUAAAAAUCGCUUUCAACGAGAGAUUGCGAGUGAAGAAUUUGUAAAUAAUAAAUCAUUAUUGGAUAAAGAUAAAUCAUCGUUUAUAAAACCGACAAUUACGCAGUAAAUGAAUUUAUGCAUCUUGAAAAUGCACUAAAUCGAACAUUUUCCAACUCGAAUAAUCGAAUUAUUUUUUAUUAUUCAAUCAACAUUCGGGCAUCACGAUACAGGUAACAAUAAAUGAUUUCAUACACCACACGUUCUUACGUAAAUUCAAAUAUGCAUUAUUAUUGAUAAUCUAUAAAAAUGGUCCUUCGAGCCGUACCGCUUAAAUCUAUUUAUUGCUGUCUAACACAUACCAUACAAACGAAGGCUCGGUGUAGACGAACGUGUUGUGAACGGUACGUUUUAGGGUCGGUAUUAAUUAAUAUAUCAAAGAAAGAGAAUUGAUAAGAAGAAGAGACCAUAAAUGUAGGUAAAAAAAUACAGUUUUGGGAUUUUUUUUAAAGUGCACUAAGGUAGAUAGCUCACUGUUAUUAAAAUAUAUUUUUAUGUUUAAAAAAAAGGACUAAGUAUUAUUUUGACACGAUCGUCUACACUCAGCCUUAACCACUCGGCAACACUAAACAAACCACCUCUACGAAUAUAAAAAGUGACACUUAUUAUAUACCCCAAACGCGACGACACGACACGAUAUCGUGAUCGCGAACAAAUCAUCGUCGACGACACAUCGCACAAGCUUAAUAUCGUGCCGGAGAACCGUGCUACGGGGCGUUUUAAAAGCGAUGUACAUCCAUGAAACACUAAAACAUGAUCCGCAUUUUACGAAGUCGGUUAGAAAAGCAAUGAACCCAUGCUGUUACUCGGCAAUACCAUUACAUUAAAAAAAAAUAAUAAUAAUAACGAAUCGAAAUGAUUUUUGUCCCGCAAAUCAAUUAAUUAAACCACUAUAAUAGUAAUAAUAAUUAAAAAAAAA
This is a long non-coding RNA of Zerene cesonia (dogface butterfly), 3931 nucleotides long. RefSeq lists it as uncharacterized. The record is from RefSeq and is a predicted model, not a curated record. Lineage: Eukaryota; Metazoa; Arthropoda; Insecta; Lepidoptera; Pieridae. The transcript has 2 exons.